AUUGACAAAAUUUUUACAUUUUUGGAGGCAUUUUUUUUGCCAAAAAGUUACUUUUUAUUUGUUAAU
RNAcentral lists this transfer RNA (66 nucleotides) under Charaea flaviventris. RNAcentral's name for it is "tRNA-Val". The record is from RNAcentral. Lineage: Eukaryota; Metazoa; Arthropoda; Insecta; Coleoptera; Chrysomelidae.